CGCGCGGCCCGGGGUGGCCGCGGCUCGGGAUCCUUGGGAACCGGCCGCGGUGUCGAGCCGGGCUCCGCCGCGUGCACUUUCCGCGGGCAGAGAGCCACAACCGGUUCGGGUUUUUGGCGCGGCGAUAUGCCGUGGAGGGUUGUAGGUGGGGGCGCUCGCGUCCCUACCAGCCCUCCCCACCGGCGAGCCGCCACCGGACCGAGGAAGCCGCCGCGCGCCUCGAGGCCGCCUUCCCCUCCGGGUGAGUCCGACUGGGAGAGACU
RNAcentral lists this ribosomal RNA (263 nucleotides) under Graniberia braunii. RNAcentral describes it as "Granaria braunii partial 28S ribosomal RNA". Lineage: Eukaryota; Metazoa; Mollusca; Gastropoda; Stylommatophora; Chondrinidae. The record is from RNAcentral.